GAAGAACCUAAGAAAUCCCUAAUGGUUUUCGAUUAAUGGCGUUUUGGUGCCCGGGAACUUGUGUACUAAGUAUUAUCAAGACAUCUCAAUAUUUACUCAAGUUAUCGCUUGCACAGGGAGACAGACAGUCACCCGGAUUUCAACUUGUCUUGUCAUCCUGAUUCUUUAUAUAUAUUUAUAACCCUAUAACUAAUUCGAUUAGUUUUAGAUAAUACAAACAACCGUUAGGUGAUCAAAACUAUUAUACUUUGUAGCAACAUGUUGCGAGAGUAUAAAAAGGCAUAAGCAAAUUUAAUGAAAAAAUAUAAAAAACAGCAAAAUAAAAAAUCUUCAAAUAAGUAAAUAUCAGCGGUUAGACAUUAUAAGUAAAAAAGUUAGAAAAUGCAAAAAUAAAACAAAACAUCGGUCCAGCGAAUGGCCAGCAUGUCACGCCAUUAGCUACCUGCAGGCGCUUGCUUAAAGCGCUACCAACCAAACGAAUCGACAUGCGAGCGCGCAUGGGGUUUGCCUCCAAGCUUCCAUGUGAUUUCUUAAACGUGCAGCUUUUACUGUCUUUUACGUAUUUUACAUGUCUUUUUUGACUUCUUUUCCUAAAUGCUAUUGCCCCGCUGGCGGUCAUUUCUCGGCUAAGCUUGUCUUCAUACUCGUUGUUUUUGUUGGUGUUUUGUUUUCAUGUGGAACCUCGCAUUAUUUUUCUCGUUAAAUGUGAAAUAAGCUGCUAAAAGACAACAGCAACAUUUUGGACAACAAAAUAACCACAAAAACAACAGCAAAUUGUAAAAGUAAAACAAAACAUAAUAACACAUUAUUGGAAAAAACGUAAUAAGAAAACCCCAAAUCGGAAAUUGUUGGCAUUUCGACGCUUGUCCAUUGUCGGUGGUUAAUCUCCGGCGUAAAAGCAAAUGACUGUCGACGAACGUGACAUCUGAGCGCAUGGUUAACGUGUAAAAUUUGCUAAUUUGCGUUGAAUUUCAAAUGCUUCAAUUAUUUAGUUUGCAAAAAUAACCGCUCUGGCAUUUACAAAGUUAACAGCGCAGCGCUGGAAAAAGCAAAAACAAUGCUGUGACGAGACAAAAGUAUUGAAUCCAACGUAUGGCAUAUUAAUGUGUUAUCGUCGCCGACGGUAUAAUUUCAACACAGAAUUGCAUUUAGAGUAUAUUAUUAAUUAUGUAUACAUGCUGUUCCAAGACCUAUUUUAGAAUUUUCGUAGGCUUGUGAAAUAUACUUCUGUAUAAAUAAGGAAUGAACAAUAUAAAACAAAGAAUCGUAAGCAGAUUGCGUAUCAAUUGAAGGUCAUUAAAAUGUCAUAAAUUGACAGCGAAAAACAAAAAUUGUAAAUCAACGAACCAAAACCAGACAGAAGGUGAAAUGAAAAUAAAAAAUUAAAUAAGCGACACACAAAUUAAGGAUAAGUAUCAAAGCAGAAUUGGCGAGAAAUAUAUACAAAUACCAAAGGAACACUAAAUGGCUAAAGGAGGGGAAAUUUAGAAAGACCCACGGUAAUAACAGACAAAUUAUGAUUCAGACUACGUAAGUUUCUCCCAAUAAAGUGUCUAUUUCACUCACUGAAAGUCUUGUUUAACCACCCAGCAGAAAUCAUUUAGCAUUUUGACGAUUCUGAUUGACCUCGGUAACCAAAAAAUAGCAAAUAAUUUGAAAAUAAAUGCCAACUCAUGUGUUUACUUUGUUUUGACUAAUAUAAAAUUGUAUACCUUAGAAAAAUCAUUCUAUACUUCCAUCUUUGUCUUUCAAUGUACCCAAAAAAUAAAAAAUAAUAAACAAAAAUACCUUAUAAAGCAUUCAA
Molecule: long non-coding RNA, 1804 nt
Organism: Bactrocera oleae (olive fruit fly)
Lineage: Eukaryota; Metazoa; Arthropoda; Insecta; Diptera; Tephritidae
Source: RefSeq, a predicted model, not a curated record